Phoenix dactylifera (date palm) is the source of this 523-nucleotide long non-coding RNA. RefSeq lists it as uncharacterized. The record is from RefSeq and is a predicted model, not a curated record. NCBI's taxonomy places the organism in Eukaryota, Viridiplantae, Streptophyta, Magnoliopsida, Arecales, Arecaceae.
UGGAGGAUUUUUAGUCGCUUGCCUAGCUGCCUUUCCGCCGGAUCAACUCCUCCCCUCGCCGGCCCUCCCUGAAGAAAACUCCAAUGGCCUCUCUCGCCCCAAGGACUGGCGAUGCGGUCUUCGCCAACGUCGAACGCGUCAAUGCAGAGCUCUUCACCCUCACGUAUGGCGCCAUCGUGCGGCAGCUCCUCACGGAUCUGGAGGAGGUAGAGGAGGUCAACAAGCAGCUCGACCAGAUGUAAUUUUUCCUCCAUUAUCCCUCUUGCUUCGCUUCAGCUUAUGUGUUUGCAGACCCAAAGAUUGUGUCCUUUUGGAAGUGAUUUCUUGAUUUGAAGUUGGUAUAUCGAUCAGCUUUUAAUUUUGAAUGUUAUUGUACAUGCUGUGAAGAAAAAGGAAACUGGUUUUGUUACUUUAGGGACUCGAUUCAGAAAAGGAUGCGUGUUUUGUGCUAAUUUCAGUUGGAAGGAGGAAUUGGUAAGGGUUACUUGGUUUUGAUUUGGGGAUUUCGGUCUUUUCUAGGUUU